Molecule: ribosomal RNA, 373 nt
Filed under: uncultured Methanosaeta sp.
Lineage: Archaea; Methanobacteriati; Methanobacteriota; Methanomicrobia; Methanotrichales; Methanotrichaceae
Description: bacterial SSU rRNA
Rfam family: Archaeal small subunit ribosomal RNA
Source: RNAcentral
UUUGCCGGAUUAGCUGAGAGGUGGUGCAUGGCCGUCGUCAGUUCGUACUGUGAAGCAUCCUGUUAAGUCAGGCAACGAGCGAGACCCACGCCCACAGUUGCCAGCGUACUCUCCGGAGUGACGGGUACACUGGUGGGGACCGCCGCUGCUAAAGCGGAGGAAGGAAUGGGCAACGGUAGGUCAGUAUGCCCCGAAUAUCCCGGGCUACACGCGAGCUACAAUGGUUGGUACAAUGGGUAUCUACCCCGAAAGGGGACGGGAAUCUCCUAAAACCAAUCUUAGUUCGGAUUGAGGGCUGCAACUCGCCCUCAUGAAGCUGGAAUCCGUAGUAAUCGCGUUUCAACAGAACGCGGUGAAUACGUCCCUGCUCCUU